CAGAGUUGGCGGAUGGCCGCCUGCUGCCAAAACAGCAGGAGGAAAGUCCGAGCUCCAUAGGGCAGGGUGCUGGGUAACACCCAGUGGGGGUGACCCCAGGAAAGUGCCACAGAAACCAGACCGCCAGCGGCCCUGUAAAUUUUACAGGGUGCGGGCAAGGGUGAAACGGUGAGGUAAGAGCUCACCCCUUUAGGUGGUGACACCUAAAGUGGGUAAACCCCACCCGGAGCAAGACCAAAUAGGAGGGCGUUCCCUAAAAGGGAUAAGGGUGGCCCGCCCGAAGCCCUCGGGUAGGUCGCUUGAGGCGUCGGGUAACCGGCGUCCCAGAUGAAUGGCCAUCACCUGAAAGAGGGUGACCUCUUUCAGGAAACAGAACUCGGCUUAUGACCAACUCUGACUC
This 400-nucleotide RNase P RNA is filed under the name Candidatus Desulfofervidus auxilii. RNAcentral describes it as "RNase P RNA component class A". It matches the Rfam family "Bacterial RNase P class A". Rfam says of the family: Ribonuclease P (RNase P) is a ubiquitous endoribonuclease, found in archaea, bacteria and eukarya as well as chloroplasts and mitochondria. Its best characterised activity is the generation of mature 5'-ends of tRNAs by cleaving the 5'-leader elements of precursor-tRNAs. Lineage: Bacteria; Pseudomonadati; Thermodesulfobacteriota; Candidatus Desulfofervidia; Candidatus Desulfofervidales; Candidatus Desulfofervidaceae. The record is from RNAcentral.